This 176-nucleotide ribosomal RNA is filed under the name uncultured bacterium. RNAcentral's name for it is "partial 16S ribosomal RNA". It matches the Rfam family "Bacterial small subunit ribosomal RNA", at positions 1325 to 1500 of the family's 1533-position model. The record is from RNAcentral.
GUCGGAAUUGCUAGUAAUCGCAGAUCAGCAUGCUGCGGUGAAUACGUUCCCGGGCCUUGUACACACCGCCCGUCACACCAUGAGAGUCGAUAACACCCGAAGCCUGUAGUCUAACCAUAAGGGGGACGCAGUCGAAGGUGGGAUUGAUAAUUAGGGUGAAGUCGUAACAAGGUAUC